RNAcentral lists this ribosomal RNA (481 nucleotides) under uncultured Sphingobacteriales bacterium. Its description in RNAcentral is "bacterial SSU rRNA". It matches the Rfam family "Bacterial small subunit ribosomal RNA", at positions 904 to 1382 of the family's 1533-position model. Lineage: Bacteria; Pseudomonadati; Bacteroidota; Sphingobacteriia; Sphingobacteriales. The record is from RNAcentral.
CACAGGAAGUUGACGGGGGCCCGCACAAGCGGAGGAGCAUGUGGUUUAAUUCGAUGAUACGCGAGGAACCUUACCUGGGCUCGAACGUAAGAUGACUGUAGGUGAAAGCUUACAUCUCUUCGGAGCAUUUUACGAGGUGCUGCAUGGUUGUCGUCAGCUCGUGCCGUGAGGUGUCGGGUUAAGUCCCAUAACGAGCGCAACCCCUACCUUUAGUUGCCAUCAGGUAAUGCUGGGGACUCUAAAGGAACUGCCUACGCAAGUAGUGAGGAAGGCGGGGAUGACGUCAAAUCAGCACGGCCCUUACGUCCAGGGCUACACACGUGCUACAAUGGCCGAUACAGAGGGCAGCUACCUGGUGACAGGAUGCAAAUCUCCAAAGUCGGUCUCAGUUCGGAUCGGAGUCUGCAAUCCGACUCCGUGAAGUUGGAUUCGCUAGUAAUCGCGCAUCAGCCAUGGCGCGGUGAAUACGUUCCCGGGCCUU